This 253-nucleotide ribosomal RNA is filed under the name uncultured bacterium. RNAcentral describes it as "partial 16S ribosomal RNA". It matches the Rfam family "Bacterial small subunit ribosomal RNA", at positions 524 to 776 of the family's 1533-position model. The record is from RNAcentral.
UACGGAGGGUGCAAGCGUUGUUCGGAUUUACUGGGCGUAAAGCGCACGUAGGCGGAUCGUUAAGUCGGGGGUGAAAUCCUGGAGCUCAACUCCAGAACUGCCUUCGAUACUGGCGAUCUUGAGUCCGGAAGAGGUGAGUGGAACUCCUAGUGUAGAGGUGGAAUUCGUAGAUAUUAGGAAGAACACCAGUGGCGAAGGCGGCUCACUGGUCCGGUACUGACGCUGAGGUGCGAAAGCGUGGGGAGCAAACAGG